Molecule: ribosomal RNA, 135 nt
Filed under: uncultured Porphyrobacter sp.
Lineage: Bacteria; Pseudomonadati; Pseudomonadota; Alphaproteobacteria; Sphingomonadales; Erythrobacteraceae
Also listed under: 1 other name
Description: partial 16S ribosomal RNA
Rfam family: Bacterial small subunit ribosomal RNA
Source: RNAcentral
UGGGGAAUAUUGGACAAUGGGCGAAAGCCUGAUCCAGCAAUGCCGCGUGAGUGAUGAAGGCCUUAGGGUUGUAAAGCUCUUUUACCCGAGAUGAUAAUGACAGUAUCGGGAGAAUAAGCUCCGGCUAACUCCGUG